Molecule: long non-coding RNA, 2315 nt
Organism: Sphaerodactylus townsendi
Lineage: Eukaryota; Metazoa; Chordata; Lepidosauria; Squamata; Sphaerodactylidae
Exons: 2
Source: RefSeq, a predicted model, not a curated record
CUACCCCAAGGUCACCCAGCUGGCAUGUGUUGGAGUGGCAGAGCGGGAAAUCAAACCCGGUUUCUCCAGAUUAGAGUACACCUGCUCUUAACCACUAUGCCACUGCUGCUCCUUAUAAAAGGUUAUACCUCUGGAAUUUGAAUGGGACUCACUUUUUCUGUUUCUAUGCAGCAGCUGCAGGGAACAGAUUUUAAAAAGUCUACAGGGGAGGCAAUUUGGCUCAAGACUAUUGUGUGGGAGGAGGAGGGGCUCCUACCUUCCCCAUCUGCAUCUCUUUCCUGAGCCAAAAUGGCCAUUGAGGGAAUUAUUUGCCUCAUUUUGAAGCUGCAUGGACAGUAUUCCAUACUGCAUUGUAUAAUUUGCAUUAGAACCCAAUGAAGUCAGUGGAGUUACAAAGGUGCAACUUUGCUUAGGAUUUCUCAGAAUAUUGGCUAAGCCUAAUUCUAUUGCAAGACAAAUGAUCUAAUUCUCAUUGGAAGCAAGUUGCUUAUUAUUCUUCUCUAUAUUUUACUAGAAUAAAGGGUGGAAACUAUUACAUGCAAACAGCUUUUAUUUUGUUCUCUUAUAAAUAAAUUAUGUGUAUGUAUCUUUAGAGAAAUCUGAAGGCCUGCCAGAUUUAUCUUUAUACUUACAUCUGUUUCUUUAUAUGUUGUCAAUAUUAUUGCUAGCAGUAUGUCAUUUUUAAGAAUAUGGCCUAAACCUAAACAAACAUAGGUGGUAUUUUCAAUAUUCUCUCAGAGGAAGGCAAGAUAGCGCCAGAUAAAGAUCUUCAGCUGCUCCACUGUUUCAGUUUUUUAAUUGUGUUGUAAAGAUCAUGUGAUUAUCUUAGAUGCUGUAUGUUUUUAAAGCCAUGUUAAUAUCACUGCUUAAGUAACAGAUAUUUGUUGUUUAACAUAAAGAACACAUAUUUGACUAGGUAUUUCACAAAAGGAAGACAUAGCCAUAGAUGUGCUGUAUAUUUGUGCAUAGAAAGGUUUGUUUUCCCCCUAAAGAUUCAGCUCAUGUCUUCUAAAUGGCAUAAUGUACUCAUUAGAGACUCCCAGUUUAACGGACAUUAUAAUCUAUAGCUGUCAUCUUUUUAUUCAAACUCUCCCCACCACCAACAGAGCCCUCGUCCUAGCACCUAAACCACUUCACCAUUGAUUGGUGAGUAUGAUUGUUACCAUGACUUUUCCCUAGAAUUGCAGGAGACACACCCAACUUAUAUAAUGCUCUGUCACAUUGCUUCUUUCCUCACUCAUUAAUGGUUGUCACAAGGAACAUCUCAGAAUGCUCAAAACAGCAGUUACAUCCACGGUACUGCCACACUUUUGAGAUUCAUGCUUAUGUUCACUAAACUUUUGUUUCCUAUUCACACGUUUACAGACUGUAAAAUCUCUUUUCCUACUCUUCUCUAUAAGUGAAAUGAAUCAAGGACAGUGUUCUUGGUUUUAAUGGUCUUCAAGCAAGACAGCACUCUUGUCACUUAACACGCUGGUAAUUUUGUUUUAUUUCAUCAAGUUUUAUUUCACCUGGUUAACAUUCACCAAAUGCCACUCAGGGCCCAAUUAAGAUGUACUGAGGCCCUAAAUGAUGCCAAAAGACCUCAUGGUGGUGAAAAGUACCAUCACACAGCGGCUGACUCCAUAGAUUUUUCAAGGCAAGGGACAAACAGAGGUUGGUUAAGUGGUCCCACACUGCUACCAAAAAUGUAUAAAAUGAGACAUUUAGAAAUAUCUUUAGCAAUAUUUAGGCCUCAUAGUCUGAGCUUCUCACUGUAACUGACUUAAUUCCUGUAUAAAUCCAGCUCUGAUGCUGGUAUUGGAGUAUAUAUGUAUCUAUGCAUGUAUUAUGCACAUUAGUUCAAUUUCUUUUUUGUUUCUACAGCCGAUUAUACAAAGCAACAUUGCAAAUUAAGCUGUGUUGUCAGUUCUUUUUGUAGUGUACUUAACACAGUAUAAUCUGUUAUAUACAACUAAUAAUGACAUAGCUUAAUAAAUCAGAGUGCAUUUUUAAUUUUUUUAGGCAUUGAGCUUUGAUAAACAAUCUGUAUAACAUCUUUAACUCUAUUUUAAAGAAGUCUUGCUUAUUAAUGUAAACAGCACAAGGGUUGGGGCUUGGUAUCUGACACUAAAGAAAAUAUCCUGGGCCAAGCUAUUUCUUAAGAGUGGCUGAUGAAUUCUCAGACUGAUAUGGCUCUAGUAGAGGUGCAUACAGAUUACACAGGAGCUCUUAGUUUUUAAAUGUAAACCAUGCCAUCAUACCAGUGCAUUUUCUCUGAAGGGAAUGGACAUUUUUAGCUGUGAUAUUCAUGUUGAAUAAAUAUGUUGUCUUUU